Non-coding RNA from Hordeum vulgare subsp. vulgare (domesticated barley), 135 nucleotides. The record is from Rfam. Lineage: Eukaryota; Viridiplantae; Streptophyta; Magnoliopsida; Poales; Poaceae.
AAAAUACCCCCUCCAUCUCAAAAUUAUUGUCUUGGAUUUGUCUACAUAUGAAUGUAUUUAGUCACGUUUUAGUAUCUAGAUACAUUCAUAUCUAAAAAAUCUAAGAUAAGAAUUUCGGGACGGAGGGAGUAUUUC